RNAcentral lists this ribosomal RNA (742 nucleotides) under uncultured Acidobacteriota bacterium. RNAcentral's name for it is "bacterial SSU rRNA". It matches the Rfam family "Bacterial small subunit ribosomal RNA", at positions 8 to 762 of the family's 1533-position model. The record is from RNAcentral. Lineage: Bacteria; Pseudomonadati; Acidobacteriota.
AGAGUUUGAUCAUGGCUCAGAAUCAACGCUGGCGGCGUGCCUCAGACAUGCAAGUCGAACGAUUAAAGCCCUCUUCGGAGGGUGUAUAAAGUGGCGCACGGGUGAGUAACACGUAAGUAAUCUACCCUCGGGUGGGGAAUAACAACCGGAAACGGUUGCUAAUACCGCAUAAUGCAGCGGCUCCUUAUGGAGACAGUUGUUAAAGGAUUUAUUCGCCUGAGGAGGAGCUUGCGGCAAAUUAGCUAGUUGGUAAGGUAAUGGCUUACCAAGGCUACGAUCUGUAGCCGGUCUAAGAGGACGGUCGGUCACACUGACACUGAAUAACGGGUCAGACUCCUACGGGAGGCAGCAGUCGGGAAUUUUGGGCAAUGGGCGAAAGCCUGACCCAGCAACGCCGCGUGAAGGAUGAAGUAUUUCGGUAUGUAAACUUCGAAAGAAUAGGAAGAAUUAAUGACGGUACUAUUUAUAAGGUCCGGCUAACUACGUGCCAGCAGCCGCGGUAAUACGUAGGGACCAAGCGUUGUUCGGAUUUACUGGGCGUAAAGGGCGCGUAGGCGGCAUGACAAGUCACUUGUGAAAUCUCUGGGCUUAACUCAGAACGGCCAAGUGAUACUGUCGCGCUAGAGUGCAGAAAGGGCAAUCGGAAUUCUUGGUGUAGCGGUGGAAUGCGUAGAUAUCAAGAGGAACACCUGAGGCGAAGGCGGGUUGCUAGGCUGACACUGACGCUGAGGCGCGAAAGCCA